UGCAGGAGCAGUUAGAAGACAGAUGCAUUCUCCUCGGGAGCUGCCACUGACCACACCCCAGUGCUAAUCCCAGAACCAUCUGUGUCACACAACUGCUUUCAAGCUACCAACAAAAUGUGCAGAGUUGUGGGAAGGAACUUCCACAAGAGGAUGUGCUUUCAGAGGAGGAUGUCAUAGAUGAGAACUGCUGCCAUGAACAACCAUAAACAACCGCUGACAGCUGCCUCUCCUGGGGGCUUCCCCCCAGCACAUCAGAUGGUGCACGGUGCCACAAACCUCCGCUGUGUCCCAAGGCCCAGUAUCAGAGGUCGAAUCAAGCUUUGCCUAAACAUAUUAAACAGAAAAUUGCAGAAAAAAUUUGUGACCUGUGUGUGAUUCUGAGUCAUGUGAUGAACGCUUGCAGCACCAGCUCAUCGAGAAGAUGGUUCAUCCCUUUGUGUGAAUGUGCACCCGACCCACUCUUCCUCACUCAGUGUCAUCUUAACUAUCAGGUCAACUGCUGUGGUAUCAGAAGUCUUCUGUGCAAGUGGAAGUUCAGGGACAUGGAAUAAGAAUCUUUUCAGGGAUCCUUUCCCACGCAGAACAUGAAGAAAUAAGACUGUCUUAUAGGAUGUUCUGUGAUUUACCUGCUAAAUCUACACCAGAGCAAUGAAAUACCUGCCAUAUGGCUUAACAUGAUAAACUCAGAAUGAAACAAUAUAUUUCCCACAGAAGAUUCAAACCUACCACCAGCACAGGAAACUGACCUUGUACACCUAUUCUAAAGUUUCCCAUUCUUUUGAAAAAGAAAAUUGCACCAAUAUAUAUUUCAGAAACUGUGCAAAGCAGAUCCUUGA
Long non-coding RNA from Chinchilla lanigera (long-tailed chinchilla), 836 nucleotides. RefSeq lists it as uncharacterized. The transcript is spliced from 3 exons. NCBI's taxonomy places the organism in Eukaryota, Metazoa, Chordata, Mammalia, Rodentia, Chinchillidae. The record is from RefSeq and is a predicted model, not a curated record.